RNAcentral lists this ribosomal RNA (468 nucleotides) under uncultured bacterium. RNAcentral's name for it is "partial 16S ribosomal RNA". It matches the Rfam family "Bacterial small subunit ribosomal RNA", at positions 28 to 507 of the family's 1533-position model. The record is from RNAcentral.
GACGAACGCUGGCGGCGUGCUUAACACAUGCAAGUCGAACGGAAAGGCCCUGCUUUUGUGGGGUGCUCGAGUGGCGAACGGGUGAGUAACACGUGAGUAACCUGCCCUUUACUUUGGGAUAACUUCAGGAAACUGGGGCUAAUACCUGAUAGGAGCUCCUGCUGCAUGGUGGGGGUUGGAAAGUUUCGGCGGUUGGGGAUGGACUCGCGGCUUAUCAGCUUGUUGGUGGGGUAGUGGCUUACCAAGGCUUUGACGGGUAGCCGGCCUGAGAGGGUGACCGGCCACAUUGGGACUGAGAUACGGCCCAGACUCCUACGGGAGGCAGCAGUGGGGAAUAUUGCACAAUGGGCGGAAGCCUGAUGCAGCAACGCCGCGUGCGGGAUGACGGCCUUCGGGUUGUAAACCGCUUUCGCCUGUGACGAAGCGUGAGUGACGGUAAUGGGUAAAGAAGCACCGGCUAACUACGUG